AAACCAGCACCUCAAGUGGUCAGGAUGAUUAUUGGGCCUAAAGCAUCCGUAGCCGGCUCUGUAAGUUUUCGGUUAAAUCUGUACGCUUAACGUACAGGCUGCCGAGAAUACUGCAGAGCUAGGGAGUGGGAGAGGUAGACGGUACUCGGGAGGAAGUGGUAAAAUGCUUUGAUCUCUCGAUGACCACCUGUGGCGAAGGCGGUCUACCAGAACACGUCCGACGGUGAGGGAUGAAAGCUGGGGGAGCAAACCGGAUUAGAUACCCGUGUAGUCC
RNAcentral lists this ribosomal RNA (274 nucleotides) under uncultured bacterium. Its description in RNAcentral is "partial 16S ribosomal RNA". It matches the Rfam family "Archaeal small subunit ribosomal RNA", at positions 473 to 747 of the family's 1478-position model. The record is from RNAcentral.